RNAcentral lists this ribosomal RNA (565 nucleotides) under uncultured bacterium. Its description in RNAcentral is "partial 16S ribosomal RNA". It matches the Rfam family "Bacterial small subunit ribosomal RNA", at positions 355 to 912 of the family's 1533-position model. The record is from RNAcentral.
UGGGGAAUUUUGGACAAUGGGCGAAAGCCUGAUCCAGCAAUGCCGCGUGUGUGAAGAAGGCCUUCGGGUUGUAAAGCACUUUUGUCCGGAAAGAAAUCCUUGGCUCUAAUACAGUCGGGGGAUGACGGUACCGGAAGAAUAAGCACCGGCUAACUACGUGCCAGCAGCCGCGGUAAUACGUAGGGUGCAAGCGUUAAUCGGAAUUACUGGGCGUAAAGCGUGCGCAGGCGGUUUGCUAAGACCGAUGUGAAAUCCCCGGGCUCAACCUGGGGACUGCAUUGGUGACUGGCAGGCUAGAGUAUGGCAGAGGGGGGUAGAAUUCCACGUNUAGCAGUGAAAUGCGUAGAGAUGUGGAGGAAUACCGAUGGCGAAGGCAGCCCCCUGGGCCAAUACUGACGCUCAUGCACGAAAGGCGUGGGGAGCAAACAGGAUUAGAUACCCUGGUAGUCCACGCCCUAAACGAUGUCAACUAGUUGUUGGGGAUUCAUUUCCUUAGUAACGUAGCUAACGCGUGAGGUUGACCGCCUGGGGAGUACGGUCGCAAGAUUAAAACUCAAAUGAAUUG